This 581-nucleotide ribosomal RNA is filed under the name Salmonella enterica. RNAcentral describes it as "bacterial SSU rRNA". It matches the Rfam family "Bacterial small subunit ribosomal RNA", at positions 1 to 571 of the family's 1533-position model. The record is from RNAcentral. Lineage: Bacteria; Pseudomonadati; Pseudomonadota; Gammaproteobacteria; Enterobacterales; Enterobacteriaceae.
AAAUUGAAGAGUUUGAUCAUGGCUCAGAUUGAACGCUGGCGGCAGGCCUAACACAUGCAAGUCGAACGGUAACAGAAAGCAGCUUGCUGCUUUGCUGACGAGUGGCGGACGGGUGAGUAAUGUCUGGGAAACUGCCUGAUGGAGGGGGAUAACUACUGGAAACGGUGGCUAAUACCGCAUAACGUCGCAAGACCAAAGAGGGGGACCUUCGGGCCUCUUGCCAUCAGAUGUGCCCAGAUGGGAUUAGCUAGUUGGUGAGGUAACGGCUCACCAAGGCGACGAUCCCUAGCUGGUCUGAGAGGAUGACCAGCCACACUGGAACUGAGACACGGUCCAGACUCCUACGGGAGGCAGCAGUGGGGAAUAUUGCACAAUGGGCGCAAGCCUGAUGCAGCCAUGCCGCGUGUAUGAAGAAGGCCUUCGGGUUGUAAAGUACUUUCAGCGGGGAGGAAGGUGUUGUGGUUAAUAACCGCAGCAAUUGACGUUACCCGCAGAAGAAGCACCGGCUAACUCCGUGCCAGCAGCCGCGGUAAUACGGAGGGUGCAAGCGUUAAUCGGAAUUACUGGGCGUAAAGCGCACG